Long non-coding RNA from Prinia subflava (tawny-flanked prinia), 295 nucleotides. RefSeq lists it as uncharacterized. The record is from RefSeq and is a predicted model, not a curated record. The transcript is spliced from 3 exons. NCBI's taxonomy places the organism in Eukaryota, Metazoa, Chordata, Aves, Passeriformes, Cisticolidae.
ACCCCGGGUGCGGCGGACUAUAUACCAGAAGGGUCGGAGGAACAGUCACUUCUGGCCAAUCGCGGGAAAGCACGAAAGGUCACUCAAUAGAGGGGACUCACAAGCUGACUAUACCCUGAAAUAGGCACUUUCCAGAAUCCCACAAAGCCUAGGUGUUCUGGAGCUGCACCCUGUUUCAGUGCAGUCUGGUGUGGGAAGAGAUGGGAUGGAGUUGAGCUGUGGACUGUGGGACGUACCUACAGAAGCACAUGGCACCACAGAGAAGCACAUGGCAGCACAAAGGAGCACAUGGCAG